UGACGUCAGGUGACCCACCCACCUCAGCCUCCCAAAGUGCUGGGAUUACAGGCAUGAGCCACUGUGCCCGGCCCAGGGACUAUUAUUAAGCCCCUUUUACACAUGAGGAACAGAGAGGCUGAGUAACCUGUCCAAGGUCACACCACAAGCUAGUGGGGGAGGCCAACUUUGAACCCUGGUCUUUGGCCCCAGAGCCUGUGCUCCAUUUUUCCAUGGUGACCUAUGGUGACCUCUGCCCUACAGAAAGACACCUGCUUCUUCCAACCUGGUAGUGACUGUCUCAGUGCAGGGUACUGGAAAGGCACAGUUGUCUUGCAGAGAAGUUCUAGUUUUAAAAUACCCAUAAAAAGGACAAAUACCUUUUGCAUUAUGAAUUAUGAUGACAAAUAACAUGUUACCAGUCAGGCCAGCUCUAGUAAGGAAGAAGUUUCUGCCCGAUAAAGUGGAAAGAGACUGCCUGGGAAGGGGCUUAGAUCCCCCAGCCACCUCUGGGUCAAAGUCGGCCUCAGUUAGGAAGCCAGGGCCAUUGCUGCGGCCCCAACACCGUUUUCUCUGUGGCAGAGUCAGGCAUACAGCAGGCGCUCAUAAAUGCUCGCAAGUGAAGAGAAGGAACAGGGCUGCCUCCUACCCUGGUGGUAGGGAAGGAGGACCGGGUGGGCUCCUCACUCAGCCCUCAGGGGAUUCAGCCUGGCUGGGCGCAAAGACACGUAGGUCCGAGCAAGGCGGCGGCCUCCCCGGGGCUGUGCACUCUUGCAGGCGGCUGUGUUUCCUGAGGAUGUGGUCACCAGUCCCGGUGAGCCCGAUAGCCAUCGGCAAGUGUUGUGUUGUAAUGAGGUGCAUGCGGCAACCAUUCCCAGGUGGUCCCAGGGCCAGACAAAGGCCAGCCUCACCGUAAGGAUGUUAAAUGCCAGGGCAUGUUUCUGAAGGUGCCAUCUCAGGCAGCCUUGGAGAGCCAGGGCUGAGCUCUCUGGGCUUGGUGGAGACAGCAGAACCAGGCUCAUCAUCCCUUCAGGACCAGACAUCAUUUCCAGAUGCCGUAGGUGGGGCCAGGACCAUCUAAACAUUACAUGUAGGGUUGUCCAUUUCAGAUGACUCCGAUUUGACCAUUCAGAGGGUUUGCCUGGAGUAUAGCUUGGGUCUCCCAAUCCUCUCCCUGCUCCUGGCCAAGCAGGCUGAUGGGUGCCCACCAUGCACCACCCAUCCUGGGAAGGCAGGCUGCCCAAGGACCUGCCCUGGCACCUGGCUGGUGAAUGUUCCUUAUUUCCAGCCUGCCAGUGCCCCUCACCGGAUUACACACAUGUGCUGAGUAACGACAGGUGUCAGGACUCUUCUAGGAGCUGAGGAGACACAACAGAAGGAAUCCCAUCUGUGAAGCUCUAGAGGGGAAAUCAACCAAAUAAAGAAGUAAAAUACAUAGUGCAUUCAAUAGUGACCAGCACUGUGGAAAAUAAAAGCGGGGACGGCAGUAGAGGGAGUCCUGGGAGUGAUUGGCAGUGUUGAGUAGGAUGAUGUUGAAAGCCUUGCACAGGGUGGACAGUCAAGUGAGACCCAAAGUGGGUGAGGGACUGAGCCCUGGGGUGUCAGGGAACAGAAACAGCCAGGAGACAGGCAGAAACAGGCAGAGGAGAGGACUGGAGGCAGAAGGUGGGGCCAGAGAGGUGAGGGGCCGAGCAGAGGAGGGCAGCCGAGGGCAGCCGUUUGGCUGCUGUCCAAAGCAGAGAUGGAGGGGCCAGGUCAGGAGCAGCAAGCCCAGGAGGAGGCUCCUGUAGCUCUGGGGUUGGAGUGGAUGGGUAGGUUGUGAAGACGGAGCUAGCCAGCCCAUCAGGACUGGGUGUUAUGGGAAGAGUCGAGGAUGACUCCAAGGGUCUGGAUUUGAGCAACCAAAAGGAUGGAGCUGCUAGUGAGUGAGGUGGGGAAGACAGGGAGAAGAGUCCAGACCCCUUGUGCCUGGGAAAGUUGAGGGAGCAGAGGGGCGAACAGAAGAGCAUCUGGGGAGAGGUUCGGAGGUUCAUUUCGAGCCAGGAUCACUCGUCCUGCACAGGUCCCAGUGGUUGUCAUUUAGAAGGUUUAGAAACGCUUGAGGAAAAGCCAGUGUCAAAUCAUUAUUUAAGAACCUCUCUGGCAGACACUUGGCUCACACCUGUAAUCCCAGCACUUUGGGAGUCCAAGGCAGGGAGAUCACUUGAGGCCAGUGGUUCGAGCCCAGCCUGGGCAACACAGAAGGACCCCAUCUCUACAAAAAAAAAAAGAACCUUUCUUGGAACCCCGCCUUGGAAAGUUUGGUGUUUGCUCUAGGGAGUUUUUAUAAAAGGCAUUGGUCAGCCUCGAGGGUGGCAGCACCCUAUAGGUUGUGAUCUCAUUUAAUCACAGGACAGGCUAACAGUUGGGGGUGCCAGCCGCCCCAUGUGAGCUGGGGACAGCCUCUUCAGGACGGUGCUGGGCUGUGUGACCCGCAGACACUUGAGGAACCCCCUGUGGUGGUCAUCCCUCAUUCGGAUCCUUCCCACCUGGGGUGUCUCCUUUGCUGAGAGCUCCCAAGGAGCUGAAACAAAUCGCCUGGGCCCCAGAGGCAUUGCUGAGCAGCCCUGCUGGUCAGAGCAGCUGGGGAGGCUCGAUGGGCCUUACAGCCAGCCCACACCAGAAGCCAGCCCGCCCUGGCCUAGGCCCACGCAUUCCCAGACCAGUGUGCACAGAGGGAAGGAGUCUUUACAUGGACCCGCCUAUGCCUGAGGUCCGGCCCCUCUGGGACAGGAUCUGCAGGCUCUGGUGCUGCUCCUCAGGGUCCCACCAGAACUCAUGGCCACCAACAGCCAGGACCCCUCGGCUCAAGUGCCCAGCCCAGAGGGAGGCAGGGGGCAGGAGGACAGGAGGCACAGGACUCAGGUGCUGCUGGGGCACCUUCAGGGCUAUGAUGCAGAUGAGAUGUGCCCAGGUUAUGGGAACCCUGUUCAUGUCGCACUUUUCCCACCUCGGGGGAAGCAUGUGGGGUAAACAGGCAGUGACGUCUCAAGCAGCCCCUCAAACCUCAGCUCCAUGUCCUGUCCUCGGGUGGCCACUUGUGCACUGCCAGGGAGGAGAACUGUGCCACUGGCCCAUCCUUGAGGACAGGCCCCUGUUUGACUAGAAGGCACGCCACCUGUCCCUUAUGUCCCAGCACCUCGGGAGGCUGAGGCGGGUCGAUCACUUGAGCUCAGGAGUUCAAGACCAGCCUGGCCAACAUGGCAAAACCCCAUCUCUACUAAAAAUACAAAAAUGAGCUGGGUGUGGUGGUGCGUGCCUGUCAUCCCAGCUACUCGGGAGGCUGAGGCAGGAGAAUUGCUUGAACCUGGGAGGCGGAGGUUGCAGUGAGCCGAGAUUGCGCCCCUGCACUCCAGCCUGGGCGACAGAAUGAGACUCCAUCUCAAAAAAAAAACAAAACAAAACAAAAAAAGAAUGGGCAGAAAGCACUCCUGUGCCCCAGGGUUGCCAUUGGUUGGUACUGAGGUGUCACAGUUCUGCUCCGAGGAGGAGAAACAGCCCAGGGAGAAUGUUUUCCUCCUGGACAGCUGCCCAUGCCAGGGUUGGACUGUCGGCUUCCAGCAGAACCCUGCCCCCGCCCCCCCCAUCACCUCAGGGCCACUCCAGUCCUGGGCCUGGCCACUUGGGCAGUGGAAACACUCACCGCUGGCAAGUCUGGGGGCAUAGAGUGCUCUGGCGCAGGUCGUGGCGUCAGACCUCAUUAAGGCAAAGGGCAGGGGAGAGAGACCCUUGGACCUGCCUCUUCUCUUGAUGUCCAGCAGUUGCCAUUUUCUGGCAACCACAAGAGUCACCCUGGCCUUGCUCAGAGGAGAGACAACCAGCUGUGUUGGUCUGGGGCCCCCUGUGGGGCAGGAUUGUAAAAUGGGCGUUGUUUUCCCUGCAGAGCAGGCACAGCCUGUGCCCUGGGAGAACUGCAGGGAGUUGUUCGGGCCCAGCAAGCAGGCGGCUCUCUUCACUCUUGCCCAACUGAGGGUCCAUGCAAGAAACCCAGCACCCCGGGUCUGCCCUCUGAGAUCCCACCUGGGUUCCUGGACAUCCCUGCAGCCUGCAUCUGGGCAGGGGGCCAGCUGGUGUGAUUGGAGGGCUACUUCCAGGAGCCCAGAAGAACUGCCCGUGGCUCUCCUGAACCAGCUUCUGUUUCACAGUUAGACAUUUCACCAUGUUGUCCUUCCUGCAUUGUUUUUUUCUGUCCCUUUCGCUGGCUUUACUGUGACUUCAUUGUUGUUGAAGAGAGAGCCAGGGUGUCAGACUCCAUGUGUUAUUCAGAGUUUGGACCCUGCCUCUUCCAACAAUGAGAUUACGUUGUGCCAUGAACCGGCGAGGGUUGAGAAAAAUGGCCCGAACUGCACAGUCGGGGCGUGCCUUCGGAAAUCACUGCCUGAGUCGUUUCUGACACCAUCGCUUCCCCCAAGUCUCCUCCUAAUGACACCACCUACUUACCUGUGGUGGGCAGUUUGGUUGGAUUUAUUCCAACGGGCUCUCUGCACUUAGCAGUUGAGAAAGAUAUUUGUCAUCUUGCUAUAAAACAUCAAACGCAUCAUGAUCUAAACGAUUGUGACAGCUGAGAGUUCAACCACAGUCUAAAAUUUUAGCAUUAUUUAUGAUGCUUAGAGGCUUGGUGCCUACAGUAUCUUCUUAAUCCAGUCUAAAUCUGGAGCGCUGUCUCCCGGGCCUGCCCCCGUGUCUCCCCUGACUGUUAAUAACAGCUCCUCCAGGCGCCCUGUCUGCCGACACAAAAUCCAUCUGAACCCCUGCAUCUCAUGUGGCUGUUAAAAAUUGACGUUUCUAUAUUGAUGCAACUGGCUCCUGCCAAAUACUUGGGGACAAAUAAAAGUGGCUGAACUUCGAGACAAGCAGAGAACCAUUUGUUCAUGGAAUUGCCAGCCAAUUGAUGGAGGUAGUUAAACAAGUUAUCAUUUAGAAGAAUCUUGAAAGGAAAAAGUUGACUGUUUUGAGACACUAACAUUCAGAGUAGUGUGCAGGGCCAGGCGACACAGCCUUUCCGAGGACUGGAGCCCUGUGGUCGCGGGUGGUGUGUCUCUUCUUCAGGCUUCCAGGCCGUGUUCUCAGAGAGCCCCACUCACUUUGAUUCUCCCGUGGCCCCUGGAGCACUGGCUGCUCCGCCUGGUUGCUGCUCCCCUUCCGUGCCAGCUUCUCUGGAUUUCCCACUUGUUCUUUCCUCCUCCUCCAGGAAGUCUUCCAUCAAACCCUGCGGCUUCUGCCUUGUUGGACUUUAACGCUCUCGUAGUUAAGGAAGAUCGCCCUUCUCCCCGUGGACUAGGGGCCUGCCUUGCUAGUGCUGUGAGUGAGGCAUCACGUGGCUGGUGCUCCGACCCAGUGAACCAGCCCCAGGGGCCUCUCUUCACACCCAGAGAGCUGGGCGUGCUGGCUCUCUCCGACCGAUUCCCUUCCUGGCCCUCCCGGGAGGCAGAGGUGGGCAGUGACCCCAGGAGCACUGACUCAGUUCUGGCUCAGUGCCCGUGAGGUGAUUGCUUUAGACCAGCAGCAAGCGUGGGAAGAUGGAGGAGGUAAUAACAUUGAUUUUCCCAUAAAGGUGGAAUUUGUGGUGAGAGGACCUUCCUGGCAGUACCUAACCGUCUUCUUCCCCCAGCCCCUCUGCCCCUGCAGGGGGAGUGGGAUGGGUCUCUCCGGUGGGGCCUGCUGGGCAGGAACUUGGCUCAUAGCCCAUGCAACCUUGCAGUCCAGGCGGGACUGGAGCCCUCAGACCAGGCCCAUCAUGGUGAGGAAGGAGCACCCCUGUACUGGGACAUCGGGAGAUGCUGAGGACGGCUCCUGCCUGCCUCCUAGGCAGGGCAUGGGGCCUGCUGGGAAGGCUGCCUUGCAGCUGCCCGUACCCUUCCCUGCUCACGGCUCCUCCAGCAGCCGCCUGCACCCUUCCUUGCUCACCGUUUCUUGGAAGCAGUGCGCCUCCCCCACGCCCCAACCUUCACCCAGUGUUUACAGCCCUGGGAAGGCCGAAGACCUGCUGAGAGCCUGGAGGGCACCCGCUGGCCUCAGACUCAUCUGAUCAUCCCAGUGACCAAUCCGGGGACGCCACGGGAGUGUGGGUUGGGCUGCACAGCCUCUGCCCAUGGCCCUGGGAGGUUCUGACCCCCAAUCCUGUCGUGAUUGAGAACUGAGGGCCAUACGAGCAUCAGCAGAUUCUCACACAGUGCCCAGAGGACAACAGCCAAAGCGUGGCUGUCACUCCCACUUUACAAGCGCAGCACCUGAGACCAGAGAGGUGUACUGCAGGGCCCAGGGACCCCAGCACCAGGGCAGGCCCUGCUGGGACCGAACGAGGGGGUUUGGUUCUGGAGGGGCCGUUGUCCCCAGCUGGACCUGCCCCAGUUGUUCUUCGCUCUGGGCUCGGCACCCCUCACCUCCUGGCACCUGUCCCUGCCGAGGGGCCCAGGCAGCCAGAAAUGACAGGGAGGCAGCUGAUGAGUCACUCUCUGGGGCCUCAGCCGGGCCUCCAGCUUCUGUUUUCCAUCAUGUUAAUUACAUUUAUUAUUCAUCUACUGCUAAAACUGGCUCUGGGUCCUCCAUUUUCCAAGCCCUUAGGUUGUGUCCCAGCUGAGGCUCCCUGUGGCUUUGAGUGGGGAUCAGACGCCUGCCCAGCCGAGGGGCCUUUGGGUUUGGAAAUGAAGAAAAAGGAUCCCACCCUGGUGGCUUUUCGCGCAGCCGCGGGUGGCCAGGCCUUUGCUCUCCUCUGCCUGGAGAUGCCGGAUGGAUGAGGGAGCCACAGUCUAGGCUGUGUUCUCUGCUGCCUGUUGCAUCCCUCGUCUUCCUCUGGCAUCGGAUUCAGGCUCACGCUUUGAUCUUUCCCGAGUCCCUGGGCAUGGAGGCUGCCGUCUAUCCGGGUGCCUUCCCUCCAGGCCAUCCUCAGGGGUCUGUACCUGCCCCCUCCACCCUCCUCCCCCAACCUUAACAUCUGACUGCUCUGUCUCAGGCCUUCACUUCCAGAAUAGGGAGGGUCAGGGACCGAGGAGGGCUGGACCACCCGUGUGAUGUGCCAGGCUUCUGCUGCUCCACCUGGCUGGGUUCUGGCCAUGUUCCCAAGGCCCAGUGACCACCCAAAGGACAUGACCUUUCCCAGCUGCUUUGGACACCCUGGGUAGCAGCUUUCUCCCCUGGCUGAAUGGGGUUGCAUUGUACUGUCCUUCCCUCAUUCACAAUAAAGUUUCCAUUUCUGUAAAGUUCA
Macaca mulatta (Rhesus monkey) is the source of this 7222-nucleotide non-coding RNA. NCBI's taxonomy places the organism in Eukaryota, Metazoa, Chordata, Mammalia, Primates, Cercopithecidae. The record is from RefSeq and is a predicted model, not a curated record.